This 467-nucleotide ribosomal RNA is filed under the name uncultured bacterium. RNAcentral describes it as "partial 16S ribosomal RNA". It matches the Rfam family "Bacterial small subunit ribosomal RNA", at positions 29 to 507 of the family's 1533-position model. The record is from RNAcentral.
ACGAACGCUGGCGGCGUGCUUAACACAUGCCAGUCGAACGGAAAGGCCCUGCUUUUGUGGGGUGCUCGAGUGGCGAACGGGUGAGUAACACGUGAGUAACCUGCCCUUGACUUUGGGAUAACUUCAGGAAACUGGGGCUAAUACCGGAUAGGAGCUCCUGCUGCAUGGUGGGGAUUGGAAAGUUUCGGCGGUUGGGGAUGGACUCGCGGCUUAUCAGCUUGUUGGUGGGGUAGUGGCUUACCAAGGCUUUGACGGGUAGCCGGCCUGAGAGGGUGACCGGCCACAUUGGGACUGAGAUACGGCCCAGACUCCUACGGGAGGCAGCAGUGGGGAAUAUUGCACAAUGGGCGGAAGCCUGAUGCAGCAACGCCGCGUGCGGGGUGACGGCCUUCGGGUUGUAAACCGCUUUCGCCUGUGACGAAGCGUGAGUGACGGUAAUGGGUAAAGAAGCACCGGCUAACUACGUG